GACGAACGCUGGCGGCGUGCCUAAUACAUGCAAGUCGAGCGGACUUUCAAGAAGCUUGCUUUUUGAAAGUUAGCGGCGGACGGGUGAGUAACACGUGGGCAACCUGCCUGCAAGACGGGGAUAACUCCGGGAAACCGGGGCUAAUACCGGAUAAUAUCUUCCUUCGCAUGAAGGAAGGUUGAAAGGCGGCGCAAGCUGCCGCUUGCAGAUGGGCCCGCGGCGCAUUAGCUAGUUGGGGAGGUAACGGCUCACCAAGGCGACGAUGCGUAGCCGACCUGAGGGGGUGAUCGGCCACACUGGGACUGAGACACGGCCCAGACUCCUACGGGAGGCAGCAGUAGGGAAUCUUCCGCAAUGGACGAAAGUCUGACGGAGCAACGCCGCGUGAGCGAAGAAGGUCUUCGGAUCGUAAAGCUCUGUUGUCAGGGAAGAACAAGUACCGUUCGAACAGGGCGGUACCUUGACGGUACCUGACCAGAAAGCCACGGCUAACUACGUG
RNAcentral lists this ribosomal RNA (499 nucleotides) under uncultured bacterium. RNAcentral describes it as "partial 16S ribosomal RNA". It matches the Rfam family "Bacterial small subunit ribosomal RNA", at positions 28 to 507 of the family's 1533-position model. The record is from RNAcentral.